CCCAAUUAAAGCCGUCCAAUAUUAAAAUUACAGUACUGCGAGUACAAAGGACUGACGUAUAAUACGUCAUUACAGUGUUUUAAAACACAUGUAAUUAUUAUAUUAUUAACCUUCUAUAUUCAUCCCUUCUAGCACUAUCCAAUCUGAUAUAAGUACGUUCAUCUUAAACUUGUCUGCUCUCUUAACCAACGGUGUAUGGUCCGAGAAUUCAUUGAAAUCAGCAACUGUAAAAUCGUUAAUGUAAAAAAGUUUUCUUGCCUACAUAAUGAUAAUGUUCAGGUGAUCGAUCACGCUGCUACCGCGUUCACAACAAAAUGGGUUCUAACAUACCGUUAUAUAUCGGUAUUCCAGUGCUUUUGCAGGGAUCAUGUAAUUGUAGUCCGUGCGAAUAACUGACCGAGUCAUUCGACACGCGUUUUAACGGGACGUCUUGCACAUAUGAAUCGCCAUUUCACCACGACAUAGGGCUAUAUUCAUAGACAAUACUCCAACACCACUCAUUGAGUACACUCAAAUAAAUUGCCUAACAGUCACGUCUUUACUCAGGAAAGAUUCCAUUUGUAUUCAUAAAGGUGAGUGACAGUCGAGUCAACUCCCAAGAGUGAGUGACUGUUGAGGGAGGUCCUGGGGACCCUUGAGUGUUUCUCAAGGUCUCAUAAUGUAAGUUUAGAUGAUUAAUUUACAAUAUUUAAUUAAUUUGAAGGUAAGAUAACAGUGUCAUGUUAAAAUGGAAGUUCAUAUUUGUGCAAGGUAUUUUGGAAAAAUAUAUUAUGUUCUUUUUUAAUACAUGUUGUUGAGGACGACGAAAACGCAAGAACCCAACAAAUUAAAAGACUGUUUAAUUAAUAGAAAUGGAUAUAGGAAAUCAAAUCUACAUCUACGAAACCUAGCCUAACGCGGCUCAUCAAUCACUCCCAGAAACACGCGUCGUAGUAACAAAUAUUUACAUUUCACAAGCCUAGAUAUCGGUUAAUAAAUACUAAAAAAUAUAAACAAUCCGUCAAAUUCAAUGUCACGAAGAACCUAUCAUUAUUAAAUCUCAUUGUUUAAAUGACAACGGAAACAUUUAUUUAGUAAAAAGAUAUGAGCCGUGACAUUAGAAAACCAACAUAUUGCGUUUGCAGUCUGGUCAAGAUCCAUGCUGUUCGCUUUCAAAGCUUAUUGCAAUUAGAGAAACUAUUAGCGAACAGUAUGGAUUAUGACCAGACUGCGCCGAAACGCAGGUUGGUCUGGAUCCAUGCUGGUCGCAAACGCACUUUGUUGGUUUUCUCAUGGUGCGGCUCAAUUGUGUUUUUAGUAAUAGAAAAUUAAAAAAAAUACGCGGGCUGGCAGUCGAGAAACACCAACAACUAAUGGCAGAGUUAAGAAUUCAGUUGUUUAAAUAAAUUUCAAUUUCAGCGAAAAAUAAACUCUAUAUUUCUAAGUAUGAAUUAAAUUCUACUAAUGCAGAUGAGUAGACUGGCUGAUGGACGGACGAACGGACGGAAGGACGUAUUAUAAAACAAGUAGACGAACGGACUGACGGAUAAACAUACAGAAGAGCAAUAAAAUGACAACUUCCAACUACAAAAGUAAUGAUCAGUACUUUCGCAUAUCUUUGAUGUUAUUUUCAUAUAAACCGUUAUAGCGAGCGCGUAGAUCGCCUUACGGCAAUGUGUAGGCGAAUAUAACAAAGGUGUGCCGAAUGGGGCAAAGUGAUGUAGCUGAAAAAUUUUCCUCUCGUCUUGGCGCCGCCAUUUUGGGUGCCGCCAUUUUGUUCUACUUCCGUCAAAGUCGGGAAAAUUGUUUUGUUUUUUUUAAUUUUAUAUUCGAGUUACAAUCUCUAUGUUUAUUAGGUGCCUUUAUUUUUAAAAAAAGUUAUGUUAUGUAGGCAUAGUACUAGAGCCGAUUUACGCAAUCGAAUACCGCCGGAAGUAGAACAUUUAUGUUAACACCGGUUUCGUAUUUUCACGUGAAAACGGCCGAAGACUGAGAGGUUAUCAACAAAUUAUAAGUUUACGGGUACCAUGAGGAUUUUUCAUGCAUUUAAACGAAAGAAGUACAAGCGAACAGAUGACACAUUAAAGUGGCUGCAGAAGCUUGAAAAGUUUGAUAGAGCAGGGGCAGUCAAAACAGUGGGAUACUACUUCUAUGGUGUCCAACAUGUCUAGUCAGGUGGACAGAAGUGAAAGAUGGUCUGAUGGUACAAUGAUGUACAAAUGAUACUCUUUAACAAGUUUAACAUGUCAAGGUGUAAAAUGUUCUGUGGAUUCAUAUGAUGAGAAUGCCAGUGUUGACCUGUAUGACUUAAUUAAACACAGAUAUUGAUACCUUCAGAUAUAUACCUGUGAAAUCUUCAGUGUCACCGUUCAGCUGUUGUUCAAGAUCAGUGUCUGCAGCUUGCACAGUUUAGUAUAGAGGAGCCUCCUGAAUCAACUUUGUUACAUAUUUGCUGUUAUUGUACGACACACAUGUAGAGAACAGCAAGUCCUGUCCAGCGGUGCAUGUAAAUGUGAUUCAGAAACUUUGAGAAUAUGUAAACAUUACACUGUUAUAAUGUUCAAAAUACUGUCUUGUAGUGUAUCAGUACUGUUUUGUCUCAGUUUAUAGCACAGUAUGUUCACAAAUCAAACUUAAGACCAUAGUGAUCAGUAUUAUUAAAAUCAUUAAUGAUUUGUAUGGUGACAAAAUUUAAUUUCAUGCAAUACCACAGUAAAACGUUUGAUAAUUUUUGCUUUUAAAGUUGUAAGUUUAAGGUUGGCAUAAAUUGUUUUUUUUUUCUUUCAUAAAUCUAAAAAGUGAUUGGUCAUUAUAACUGCAAUAUCAUUUUAGUAUGACAAAGUUUAUAUUGAACUAAAACACUAAUGUAAAUUUUUGAACUAAUCAAUGCAUUUUCUUCAGUCUUAAAACAUUUGUUUAUCGUAUGUGUCAUGGCCCAUAACUCCUCCAUAUUACUUGUGUUUUGUCCUUUUUCAUUUCACUGAAGAGUAGGUAGAGGUAUUGCACAUCCAUUUUUUAGCAUCCUGAUUUUGUAAAGUGUUGUAUGUAAGGUUUUAUCUCGGAAUUAUGUCUCAUCUAAAGGUGGAGAGAGGUAUUAAUUAUGCCUUCUCGUCUAUCCGCAUUAAGCCUGUCUGGCUUUAAGAGGACAAGCUGCUGGCCAGAUUUUGAUGAAACUUCACAGGACUGAUCAGUACCAAGCAUAGUGUUGUGCAUAUCGCUUGCAUGUUUCGUUUUGAUGCACUAAAUUGCAGCCAGAGCUAAAAAUAGAAAAAUCUUAUCGGCUUUAACAGGUUAAAACUACUUAACAGAUUUUGAUGAAACUUCACGAGUGAUCAGUACCAAGUAUAUUUUUGCAUAUCACUGACACUUUCCAUUUUGCUGCACAAAAUAGCCGCCACAGCUAAAGGUAUACAUAGAUUGGAGACAUGUUUUGUCAUAA
This is a long non-coding RNA of Mercenaria mercenaria, 3418 nucleotides long. RefSeq lists it as uncharacterized. NCBI's taxonomy places the organism in Eukaryota, Metazoa, Mollusca, Bivalvia, Venerida, Veneridae. The record is from RefSeq and is a predicted model, not a curated record. The transcript has 5 exons.